Molecule: ribosomal RNA, 498 nt
Filed under: uncultured bacterium
Lineage: Bacteria
Description: partial 16S ribosomal RNA
Rfam family: Bacterial small subunit ribosomal RNA
Source: RNAcentral
GAUGAACGCUGGCGGCGUGCCUAAUACAUGCAAGUCGAACGCUUCACUUCGGUGAAGAGUGGCGAACGGGUGAGUAAUACAUAAGUAACCUGGCAUCUACAGGGGGAUAACUGAUGGAAACGUCAGCUAAGACCGCAUAGGUGUAGAGAUCGCAUGAACUCUAUAUGAAAAGUGCUACGGGACUGGUAGAUGAUGGACUUAUGGCGCAUGAGCUGGUUGGUAGGGUAACGGCCGACCAAGGCGACGAUGCGUAGCCGACCUGAGAGGGUGACCGGCCACACUGGGACUGAGACACGGCCCAGACUCCUACGGGAGGCAGCAGUAGGGAAUUUUCGGCAAUGGGGGAAACCCUGACCGAGCAACGCCGCGUGAAGGAAGAAGUAAUUCGUUAUGUAAACUUCUGUCAUAGAGGAAGAACGGUGGAUAUAGGGAAUGGUAUCCAAGUGACGGUACUCUAUAAGAAAGCCACGGCUAACUACGUGCCAGCAGCCGCCGUAA